RNAcentral lists this ribosomal RNA (468 nucleotides) under uncultured bacterium. RNAcentral's name for it is "partial 16S ribosomal RNA". It matches the Rfam family "Bacterial small subunit ribosomal RNA", at positions 28 to 507 of the family's 1533-position model. The record is from RNAcentral.
GACGAACGCUGGCGGCGUGCUUAACACAUGCAAGUCGAACGGAAAGGCCCUGCUUUUGUGGGGUGCUCGAGUGGCGAACGGGUGAGUAACACGUGAGUAACCUGCCCUUGACUUUGGGAUAACUUCAGGAAACUGGGGCUAAUACCGGAUAGGAGCUCCUGCUGCAUGGUGGGGGUUGGAAGGUUUCGGCGGUUGGGGAUGGACUCGCGGCUUAUCAGCUUGUUGGUGGGGUAGUGGCUUACCAAGGCUUUGACGGGUAGCCGGCCUGAGAGGGUGACCGGCCACAUUGGGACUGGGAUACGGCCCAGACUCCUACGGGAGGCAGCAGUGGGGAAUAUUGCACAAUGGGCGGAAGCCUGAUGCAGCAACGCCGCGUGCGGGAUGACGGCCUUCGGGUUGUAAACCGCUUUCGCCUGUGACGAAGCGUGAGUGACGGUAAUGGGUAAAGAAGCACCGGCUAACUACGUG